This is a long non-coding RNA of Hemicordylus capensis (graceful crag lizard), 3958 nucleotides long. RefSeq lists it as uncharacterized. The record is from RefSeq and is a predicted model, not a curated record. Lineage: Eukaryota; Metazoa; Chordata; Lepidosauria; Squamata; Cordylidae. The transcript has 3 exons.
UCGGGCAAGGGGAGACAGUUGUCUGGGGGCCCCACUGCCUGGAGGGGCCCCCCAGAGGCACCUCACGUGACUCCCCAUUGCCCCCUGCCCAGCCCCAAGGCCCCUCAGCCACUUGCCCUGUUCGCCGUCUCUCCAGCUUGUUCUCCUGGCCGGCAAUGGAGGCAGCAGACAAGCUGCAAAGAAUUCCUUUUCUCCCACCUCUCAGCUGAUCGGCGGGUGGGCGGGGAGGUCUGGUGUAGGCCUCUGUGAAGCCUGAACUCCAGUAGGGCCCAAGCCAGCCAGGAAGGAGGAGGCAGCCAGAGAGGCCUCCACUGUUCUCUGCAGCAGAAGACCCCCUGCUGCCAGGACUAGAACAUCUUUCUGUUCUCUUUCCACCUGCUAAAUAAAGGAAAGCAACCUUCCACAAGAAACAAAGAACAGAGAGACAGCACACAUGCCAAGUUCCACCUCCCUGAUGCAGGCAGUACUUUCUGGCUUCAAUGAAGGCCACCCCAGAUGUACAUCACCUGCCUUAUUGUUUCUAGUAACUAUCCUCCAGUGUGCACCUACAUGAGGCUUUUUUCAGGUUCCCAGACAGACAAAUCUGGCUGGUAAACAGUGUUGUUGUUUUUUAAUUGCUUAUUGAUUUAAGUGAGAAACAUGUGCUCAGUUGCCACCCUUCCACUGAAAAAAAGUGGCCAACUUCUAGAGUGAUAAAGCACUGCUGCUGCUGCUUUCUGUGAAUACUAAUAUUGCCCUGGUGAUUGAGCAGAAUGCAGGGGUGGGACAAUUUUCACUGAGCUCCCUUUCCCCUGGAAGCAAAAAAUGAAAGCAAUGGUAUUCUCUAAUAGUUUUAAGACACACAGAUGGCGUAUAGAUAACCAUGAUAUAGACCAAAUCAAACACUUAAAAUAUCUGUUUUUCAGGCCUCUAGAAAAAAAAAAUAGCACAAGCUAAUUACAUUUCUUCCUUGGGUCAAAGAAGUGCUGCAGCAAUUUUAAAAUUCCAUCGAACUCAAGGUGGGAAUUCUCUCCCAGCUGCUUUCAAACGAUUUAUUGCAAGGUCAGUAGUUCAACUCCUAUACGGAGCGCAACUAGGCCCUUGUGCUAAGUUCGGACCCUUGGAAAAUGUGCAGUCUGCUUUCUUAAGAUCCCUUUUUUAAAAUUCCAAGAUGUGUUCCAAAGGUGGCCUUGAGAUCAGAGGCUGGGCUAAUUAGAAUUUAAGCCAAAGUUUGGGUAGCUAUGCUAGUUGUAUGGCUAAGGAUAACUGAUUCUGAUUGGCUUGGCUUCCUUAUUACUAACUGAUAAUUAUUGUUCUAACAGAAGUGUAUUGAAGGCAAAUUGUUUUCAUGUGGCCUCUAACCACAAUUUUUAUUAGUCUUGAAAAGGCCAAGGAUAUAAUCAGACAGUGGGUCUGGGAUUUGGAACGUUAGAAUGACUUAAGUCUAACUUGAAGAACAUACCAUCCUCUUAGAGAAUUCAUGAGAUCUUCUCCAGCAGCUUACUUCUCUUCACUUACUAUUGCCAAGUUCUGAUGGGCAUUUACUAAUGCCCCCUUUAAUGCUCUCCUUUGAAACUAUUAGAGGGCAGAUACUGCAAUAUCCCAGUCUCCCAACAGUUAAGCCCUAGUGAUUUUGAUUAUACUGAGUCAAUAGUCCAUGUUCUCUUAUGAUGUGUAUUUUACCUAUAUCUUUGGACUAGGUUAAACCAGUCCUUAUUUUAAAAAUUGCCAGGUCUAUGCUUAGCUUCAGCAAUUCUGCAGCAUCAGAUGCUUUUAGACCAAUAACUGCACUCAACAACCUUAAUUAUUUUGAAACAAUAUAUUUUAUUUAUUCAUUCAUCACAUGCUUAUAAACCAAUUCACAGACCUCAAGGCAGUUUACAAGGAAAAUCAACAAUUUUCCAAUCACAAAGCAGUUAAAACAAUCUAUACCAAUAAUUUAGUUCAAAGUGUUUAGUAUUAAUAUUGUUAUACUCUACUUCUGAAUAGAUAUUCAAAUAUCUAUUAUUAAAUCUUAUUAAAUCUCUCAUUUUCACACAGAUUUGAAGAAGGUGUUUAUAAUAAUCAGGAACUUAUACAUAACUGGCCUUAUUUAAUGUAUAUGUUUCUUAUGCUAGAAAUUCAUAACACUAAAAUACGGAAAACAUUUGGACUUGGUGAGAGGGAUAUAGAAGUUUAUGUUGGUUACGAGGAAAUAAUGAGUUCUUUGAAGUCCCACGUGGAAAUAUGGCAGCCCCACUUUGAUAGGAAGGCUGGUUACAGCCCUGUGCAUUUGAGGUCCAAGGUUGGAGUACGACAAGCAGGUAUGCAUAUGUACAUGGAUUUCAGUGGGACUUCCCACUUCCAUAGCAUGAAGGAACACCAUUCAAGUUUUGUGGAGUUGAGAAGUAUGACUGUGCUAACAAUUUAUGGAGGCCAACAUGGGAAGAUGAAAUAACUUUGGACCAUGCAGUUAAACCAGAUAUAUAGUUCAGAGUAUGAGGCAAUAUAACAAAUGAAACAAAGCACUGUGAACAAUGUACUUAUGUAUCAAGAUUGUCCUAGUACAGCAAAAGUCUGUGGUCUUGUUUCAAUGAACUGCAGAAUGAAUUUAAUACCUGUGAAAGCAGAACAGUCCAAAGGCAUGAAAGGACCUCACAAGGAGACCUGUCUGGAAGGUGACUUGAAAGGGAACUCACAAGAGGUGCAAAAGGGUCUUGACUAUCUUUGUGUAGCAAAACAACAUCACCAUAAAAGGAAGCAAAAGACCUAAAAUGUUGAUUUCCAGAGAGGUAAAAAUUCUCCAAUUUCCCUUGUACACUGGCUUACAUGUGGUUUGAUUAUAGUAACGAGAAGCUUUGCUAAAUAUCAGCUGUGGAAGAGCAGCCGAGAUGGCCACUAGCCAUACAACAAGACUGGCAAGAAUGCCAUAGUUGACAGUUCUUGCUCUCAAGGCAAACACAACAUGAACAACUGCGAGAUACCUAUCGAUGCUCAUGAGCAUGACAAAAAAUGUCCCACUGUAAAAUCCAAGCAGAUAGACCCAAGAGAUGAACUUGCACAAACCAUCUCCAAAGACCCACUCGUCAGCCACAUAAUAAGACCAGAAAGGAAGAGCAAAAACAAAAAGCAAGUCAGAGAUUGCAAGAUUUAGUAAGUAGAUAUCAGUCAUGCUUCUCAGUCUCUUGUAUUUAAGCAGCACGAGGACCACAAGGGCAUUCCCUAUCAAGCCGAACAGGAACACCAGUGAAUAAAAUGUGGGAAGGAACCACAACUCAAAAUUCCUCACUCCUUCUUUGCUGCAUAGCUCAGACUCUUCAUCACUGAUAUCACCAUAGUCAGAAUAUAACGUGAAUUCCUCCGUGGUGGUUUUGGUGACUGCUUUCUGUGUAGCAGAACUCAUUUUCUGUUUUGAAACCUAAGCACAAGGAUAAAGGGUGUCAAAAUGGGAAAUCAAUAUAUUUUUACCCAAAGUAGCUUUAGCAAAAAUAUGAAAGAGAAAUCAAAGACCACAAAACAAGACCACAGAGGUUUUUUAAAAAAAAAUGCAGCCUGUAGAUCACAACAGCAAAUUCCAAAGGCCUUCAGGAUUUCAAUAAUAGAAUCUCAGCUCUCACAUUUGAAGUCAAUAAAAUAAGAAUAAGACAUAAGUAUAUAUGAGAUCAUCUGGAGAGGUUCAUCUCCAGUUGCCACCAGCUCAUCGUUCUUGCCAUGAGGACAGGCCUUCUCUGUUGCUGGCUGCCCCAAGAUGAUGGAAUGUGCUCCCUACUGAAAUACGAGCCUCCCCAUCUCUGACAACUUUUAAAAGCACUUGAAGACUUACCUCUUCACCCAAGCUUUUUAAUCUGACUCCGGUUUUAAAUUAUCUUAAGGUUUUUAUUUCCUGUGUUUUAACUGGUUUUAUGUUGCUGUAAUCCUCUCAGAGAUGAAAGUUUGGGGCGGUGUACAAAUUUGAUAGAUAGAUAGAUAAACAUAUUAAAAUGUCAUAUCUUGAGCCAGA